GGGUGCGUAGCUCAGCGGUAGAGCAUCUGACUUUUAAUCAGGUGGUCCCGGGUUCGAUUCCCGGCGCACCCACCA
RNAcentral lists this transfer RNA (75 nucleotides) under Alphaproteobacteria bacterium. Its description in RNAcentral is "tRNA-Lys". It matches the Rfam family "tRNA". Rfam says of the family: Transfer RNA (tRNA) molecules are approximately 80 nucleotides in length. Their secondary structure includes four short double-helical elements and three loops (D, anti-codon, and T loops). Lineage: Bacteria; Pseudomonadati; Pseudomonadota; Alphaproteobacteria. The record is from RNAcentral.